RNAcentral lists this ribosomal RNA (933 nucleotides) under Triticum aestivum (bread wheat). Its description in RNAcentral is "partial small subunit ribosomal RNA". The record is from RNAcentral. Lineage: Eukaryota; Viridiplantae; Streptophyta; Magnoliopsida; Poales; Poaceae.
AUGCGGCGGCGCGGGAACAAUAUCCGUGUCCUCUGCGUGGAUGGCGCGGAAGUGGUCGCGCACAACGGCAAGGCCGAGGCGCUGCGCGAGUUCUACGCCGCCCUCCUCGGGCGCCACAGCCGUGCCACCUGGGGGUUCGACCUCGACAUCCUCUACACCAAUGCCCCCUGGGUGGACGCCGCGGCGCUCGUCGCUCCCUUCGGCCGCGCUGAGAUCAAGACUGCGGUGGCCCAGCUCGACGGUGCCAGCGCGCGCGGACCAGACGACCUCGGUCCGGCCUUCUACCAGGCUGCGUGGCCUGCUGUCGAGCAGGAUCUUCAGGCCCUGUUCGACGCCUUCCACUCGCGGGCGGCGGCGUUGGACGGGAUUAACAGGGCGUUCAUCGCUCUCCUUCCAAAAAAGGAUGGGGUCCCCACUCCCGGCCACUUCCGUCCCGUCUCCCUGCAGAACGAUGAUGUCAAGAUCCUCUAUCGUGGUCUCACGACUCGGCUGCAACAUCAGAUUGGAGCGCUCAUCGAUGAAGACCAGUCCGGCUUCCUAGCUGGACGAAGCAUCUCGGAGAACUUCGCCUAUGCCGCUGAGCUCGUCCAGCUCUGUCACCGCCGCUCUACGCCGACCAUCGUCCUCAAGCUCGACUUUGCGAAGGCUUUCGACUCCAUCGACUGGGGAAGCCUUCGCCGGAUCAUGCUGGCCCGCGGCUUCCCUACGCUGUGGUGCGACUGGAUGGAUGAUAUCUUCCACUCCUCCCGAUCUGCGGUCCUCCUCAACGGCGUCCCGGGGAGCUGGUUCGACAUCACCUGUGGCCAGCGGCAAGGGGACCCCAUCUCUCCUUACCUCUUCCUCCUCGUCGCCGACGUCCUUCAACGCUUGAUCCGGCACGACGAGAACCUCAUGCACCCCCUGUCAGAUGGCGCGCCCCCCGUCGUGCUCUAG